Molecule: transfer RNA, 54 nt
Filed under: Tyrannodoris europaea
Lineage: Eukaryota; Metazoa; Mollusca; Gastropoda; Nudibranchia; Polyceridae
Description: Roboastra europaea tRNA-Ser
Source: RNAcentral
UGAAAAUCUGAAACUUAGGCUGCUAACUUGAGUUCGGGGAAUUUUGUUCUCCAU